CCUAGCCUUUCCCCUUCCAUUAUAGAACAAAGGCUUGUUCUUGGUCUACAGCUUGAACCUGGCUUUGGACUUCCUGCUGAUCAAGCCAAACCAUGGCUCAGCACUGAGCAGCAGGAGAACCUGGAGAGGAAGGCAGCAGCUGCAAUCUCCUCUCCUGCAACCCGCACAUUACGUGCAGUCUGGGUCUAUUAUAUUUUGCUUGGGAGGGAUGAGAAAGUUUUGAAUUUUUGUAUCUUAUUAAGUUUUUUUGUUUCAGGGAAGGUUGAUUACACUGACAGAGGAAUAAGAAUGUAUUUCUAUGCUGAUAGUUCCACCCUUGGGAACUUGAGCUCUUAAAUCAUCUGCUUAAAUAUGCAUGUGUGCAUUUCUCUUAUGUUUUUACCACAUGCAAAGGUUGGAAAAAUAAUCUGUGUCUUAAAUAAGAGGGGGGGAAUGGAACAAAAACAAACAGCAAGCAAAAGAGAAAAAAGAGAGGACAUGCACACAGUGAGAAGAAUGUCAAGAGUUAAUCCCUGGUGUAAUACACUGGAGGGUAAAUUCAUGUUGUCAGAGGAACAGUUCAUGCAAGAUUUAUGUGCCCCCCCACCCUCUGGUGAACUUUAAGGUAAACCUCAGCCGGCGACUGCUGCAUUCCUCAUAAACCCCUAGCACAGCCCGCUGCUGCUUUUCCAAACUGCUUUCUCAUUAUUCAAUAGCACAUUUUUCCACAGCAUUCUGCUCUUGUUAAUACUUGCUUGCUGCAAUUUUUUUUUUAGUUCUGCAGUAAAAACACCUGUGUUUUAUUAAGACUCAAAAAUUGUGUUCCGCCUCCUUAUUUUGACUGCAGUGGCAUUAACCCUUUCAGAAGUAUGCUUUUGAGGGCUGCUGCUGAAUCUAAAAAGAAAGGCGCUUUAAAGAAGAAUGUGCCAUCAGAGAAACUGACACAGGAAAGCAUGGUUUUGUGUGGGGCUGGGGUAACUAAGGCCUUGGGUAAUGCUUGCUGCUAUAUCACAAAGUGAAGCUUGGGUGAAGGAAGGAACCCGAAGGUGUGAUCUUGCAACAGAAGGAAAGGCAGAGAUGGGGCUAGCAAACUGCAAGUUGACUACGGCCUGGUUUGCACAUCAUGGCAAGUCAAAAUAUGGCUUACAACAGGUGUGCAGAACCUUUGGCCCUCCAGAGGUUGCUGAACUACAAUUUCCAUCAUUCUUGGCCAUGGGCUAUUCUGGCUGGAGCUGAUGGGAGUUGUAGUUCAGCAACAUUUGCAGGGUCAAAGAUUCCUCGCUCCCUGCUUACCAGGCCUACUCAAAUGUGUGGGUUCCCAUAGAGGCCCCUAUAGCUGAUUUGUUUAUUUGUCUCUUUUUUUACUGGGACUCAUGUUUAAACUCUCAGCUCUCUGGGAGCCUGCAUGCUUGUGUAGUCCCAGUAAACCACCAUUUGGCUUACUGUGACAUGAGAACCGGCUCAAUGAAAGGAAAUCUGUGGUGAGUGGGACAGGUGAGAAAGGAGGGCAAGGCCUCAGAGGCUGUGGAGUCAUUGCGACAUUUUAGUAAAAGUGAGCUCUGAGAGAAAGAAUGCAAAAGUGCUUAAGGCUGAUGACCUAAUCUUUGCCUUCUUAGUACAAAGAGUCAGAUGGGUGCAAGACAGAAAGACGUGAUCCUUGUGCUGUCAGAUCUGUUCAAAUCAAACAACCGCAUGCGCCCAGAAUCAGGUACAUAGUGCUGCUCCACCCAUUUGGGUCACAGAAGGGGAAAAUUGCAAAAGCAGCACCGGCUACAUCAGCAGCACCACUCAAGGUACAACAUUUCUCAUAAAAGUCACAACGAACCUUUUCUGUUUUCAGGGAAAUACGCCUCCUGUAGCAGCAAACAGAAGCAGGAGAAAGUCUUGUGCAGAUGCAUCCUUAGUGCUGGAGUGCAGGAAUUUUGGCAAAAUGAAUUCUUCUUGAGAUAGGACUCAAGGCAUGAAGGAGCCACUACAAGAAUCGAAAACCUCUCACCUCCAGUUCCUUAACAGCUUAAUGGAUGUAGGUAACAGAAAGUUUUAAAAGGUAAUAAAAACCUUGGUGGCUUAAAUGUUUUGUUAAUUCUGUUCUGAGUUGUAUCAGAAUUACAGGGUAGUAUUGGCACCUAGUUUUUGGCAGUUGUUCCUCUCUCCACCUUUAUAACUAUUGUCUUCAGGCUACGAAGCACAUAUUAUGGCGUUCAUGAUAGUCACCUCUUACUAGUUUCUAUGCAACAUUCUUUUACUCAUAUCUAUAGGUGUUCUACAAAAAAAGAAAUUUACCUUGUAAAAAAGAAAGUUGUGCCAAAGGGCUCAUAUUCCAAAACUGCAAAAAGGGGAUGAACAAAAAUGAGCAAAAUCAGCUUUGAUGGGAUUUACCAGCAGAGUAUAUAGUAGCAUAACUCAGAGAGGUUUCAGCUCAAGGGACAUGGAACUCAUCUGUUAGAACCAUUUAUACAUGUAUGUGUCUGAAGACUAAAAUCACAGUGUUCAAUACAUGUAAACAAUGUUCAAAACUACUUCAGUGUGACUGUGUAUAAACCUGACUUGCACUUACAGAACUUCACUCAUUGUCAAAGCUGUAAUUUGCAUUUGCUUGUAUACUGUGGUUUGGAACCAUUAUAUGUCAGACUUGAAGAAUAUGCGCAAAUUAAGGUAAUCACAUGCUAUCACCACUAAUUUACAUACAAAUGUAAACAUCCAAACUCAUGAAAUAUGUUGGGCCCUGUUAUUAUGGAGAGUAAACAGCAAUGACUCGCCUGUUAUUUACACAGCCACCCAAACAGGGCAUUUUCUUCCACUGUCACCCAGCUGGGCAACACAGCAAGGGGUAUAGAAGUCAGUGUCUAACCUAUGUUCCGAAAUGGGCUCAUAAUCAUGCUUCAUAGGUGGCCUGGCCACC
This 2881-nucleotide long non-coding RNA is filed under the name Podarcis lilfordi (Lilford's wall lizard). The record is from RNAcentral. Lineage: Eukaryota; Metazoa; Chordata; Lepidosauria; Squamata; Lacertidae.